UACGUAGGGAGCGAGCGUUGUCCGGAUUUAUUGGGCGUAAAGAGCUCGUAGGCGGUUUGGUAAGUCGGGUGUGAAAGCUCCGGGCUCAACUCGGAGAGGUCACUCGAUACUGCCAUGACUGGAGUCCGGUAGGGGGGUGUGGAAUUCCCAGUGUAGCGGUGAAAUGCGCAGAUAUUGGGAGGAACACCAAUGGCGAAGGCAGCACCCUGGGCCGGUACUGACGCUGAGGAGCGAAAGCAUGGGGAGCGAACAGG
This 254-nucleotide ribosomal RNA is filed under the name uncultured bacterium. RNAcentral describes it as "partial 16S ribosomal RNA". It matches the Rfam family "Bacterial small subunit ribosomal RNA", at positions 524 to 776 of the family's 1533-position model. The record is from RNAcentral.